RNAcentral lists this long non-coding RNA (608 nucleotides) under Coturnix japonica (Japanese quail). Its description in RNAcentral is "lncRNA (ENSCJPG00005011642.1)". Lineage: Eukaryota; Metazoa; Chordata; Aves; Galliformes; Phasianidae. The record is from RNAcentral.
CAGAGAUCUGAUUCAGCAGAGACCUGGGAUGUUUCCUGAUAAAUUUCCAUCAUUCGGAUUUCCAUGUUGUAUUUAGAGCCUGGUCUCCUGAUUAUUGGUCUAGUUUACAUAAUACCAUAAGUACAAAAUGGAGUACUCUUUUGAAAUGAGAAGAACUGCAGUAAUGAAGGAGGAAUAAGGAAAUGAAACGAAACAUUGAGGGACAGCUUUCUUUUCCUGUGGUGUUUGACAAAGGAUCUGCCAGCGCUUAGUGAGGGCUGCAAAAAUCAGUUCCUGCUGCCUGAAGGAGCCUGUGCUUCUGGUGAGGUGAGAGCACAGCUCGGAGUCAUCUGUUACACCAAUGAGGAGAAGCACGCACUUCAGGAGAAAAGCAGAUGAAGAGGGUUUUCUUUCCACUCCAGUAACUCACAGCAGAUUCUUGUCUAUCCAUGUGUUGGACAGCUGAGAAUACAGCAAGCUGUUGAGUAAGAGGUUCAGAUAUUCAAGGAGGCCAAACUCUUAAAAUAUCAACAGAAGCAUAUCUUAAUUUUCUUAAAUUAUCUGAGGGCUGUGGAAAAAGGAGGCAGGGAAGAAAAGAGGGAUUUCCAGGAAUCUCAAAUAAUGUUGGU